GGUGGGCGGGAAGGAAGGCGUGGUCCAAUUGAAAAAAGAAAAAAAUCCGAAAUUCGAUCUUUAUUUUUUAGGUAUAUGUACAUAGUUUCAUGUUUCUAUCUUCAAAAAUGGUAAAAAUGCCGCAAUUCGGGACUUUUUGCCCAUAGUGCAAUCUGCCUAUUAAGUGUUUCUUUCAAAAUACUAGAGGGACUAGUGAAACAAAGAAUGUAGGAGCACACUCGCACUAACUCGAUAAUCGCAGAGAGAGCAUAUGCUUUUCGACGUCGUAGAUCUACAGCAUUGUGCAUCAACGUUCUAAUCAAUAAAGUUCAAUCGCUAAAGUCAAAGCAAUACUAAGUUUUAGUAGCAUGUCUAGACCUCAAGAAAGAAUUUGACUCCGUGAACAUACUCCAGAGUAAGCUUAACAAAUUGGGUUUUUGUGGGUAGUCGAUUGGAUUGCAAGCUUUGUAUGUGGAAUUGACAAAGCACUCGAAUUUGGUCUAUCCAAAAAUCUGCCUCGUGCCGCUAUUCUUACGGACAGCAGAAUUAGAAUAGAAUAGAACCAUCAAUCAUGCAAAAUGAGCCACGACAAUCAUAUCACAUUCAACAUGAUCGAUAAAAUAAUCUGGUAUCCCAUUACAUUCCGGGACACUCAAACAUUCCAAAAAACGUAAACUGAAAUGUUGGUAAACUGGAAGAGGAGUAGAGCUGCAAAAACAUCGGAGCCAACAUCGAUACAUCGAAGAGAGAGUGCUCCUUUGGAAUUUUGGAAAUGCUCCCAAGAUGACAAUGGCCUAAAACCACUCGCUCGUCGAUUUCUAUGUGUCCCAGCCACAUCAGUCGAAUCUGAAAGGCUCUUCAGGAAAGCUGAACAGCUAAUAUCAGAGCGUAGAGCAGCGCUAAAGGCAAAACACUUUGUUACGGACUUUUUGUCCUCCCUGGGGUCGCGCCGGCUGGCUCAUCGGUAUUCAGGUUGAGUUUCGUCGAUAACUCCACCGAUACAAAACAGCUGCUUUAAGACGGAAGAAACGCAUCACUAAUAGAAAAACAAAACAGCUGCCGCGCAAUUGAAAAUUGCGCUAAACAAAAGGAGAUACAAAAAAAACCUAUUGACGACGGGCCCAGUUGGACCCCGGUGUACCUACCCUGCCUGAGAUGGCCACAUCGGCGCCAUCUCCCUUGCGUUGGCCACCACGUCAGUGGCCGCUCCUCAUCUGGCGUAGCGCUGCGGAUUUCCCCUCCCCACCAUGCUGAGAAAACUCACACAACCAUGUUCAAGAUAACAAACAAAUAUUUGGACUCUAGAAUGGCAAAGGAGCAAGAUUAAAAAAAAUCACGCAGUAGGACGAGAGAAACCACCAUAUAGCCGCAACGGCGUAAAGGACAACUUCUUUUACAUGUAACGCAUCCGGGCGGUUCGUAUAUAUUUAUUUACCAGUUUAUAUGCGCAUGUUUUUAUAUAAGUAUUUAUCUAAGUCGAUUUAUUGUCAACCUUAACCUACCUAAGAGCUCUUGGGAUUGGUGAAGGGGCGAUAUGGGUUAUAAUAGAUAAAAUGUGUGUAUAUAUAAAUUAGUAAACAUAAUCAUAUAAUCCCGCAGCAAGUAGAUUUUUAAGAAUGUAUGUAUGUACAUAUGUAUGAAGGUGUUUUGUCGCCCCUACUCUGUCAUUUGCACAAGAAAAUAGUUGUUUAUCUACUUUAAUUUAAUUUGAAUUUUAAUUUACUUCACAAAAUUUAUAAUUUACUGAUAAGGUCGGCAGAAAACAAGUAAGAAAGUUACAGUCGAGUGUGCUCGCCUGUGAGAUACCCGCUUCCCAAAUUUAAUAAAGCCAAAAUAUUGCGGUAUCAUUUUCAAAAUAUACCGAAAAUACUAAAAAAAUACUAAAAAUAUACCGAAUGAUA
Molecule: long non-coding RNA, 1880 nt
Organism: Drosophila albomicans
Lineage: Eukaryota; Metazoa; Arthropoda; Insecta; Diptera; Drosophilidae
Exons: 6
Source: RefSeq, a predicted model, not a curated record